This 274-nucleotide ribosomal RNA is filed under the name uncultured bacterium. RNAcentral's name for it is "partial 16S ribosomal RNA". It matches the Rfam family "Bacterial small subunit ribosomal RNA", at positions 523 to 796 of the family's 1533-position model. The record is from RNAcentral.
AUACGAAGGGGGCAAGCGUUGUUCGGAAUAACUGGGCGUAACGCGCACGUAGGCGGAAUGUUAAGUUAGAGGUGAAAUCCCAGGGCUCAACCUUGGAACGGCCUUUAAUACUGGCAAUCUAGAGAACGAGAGAGGUGAGUGGAAUUCCGAGUGUAGAGGUGAAAUUCGUAGAUAUUCGGAGGAACACCAGUGGCGAAGGCGGCUCACUGGCUCGGUACUGACGCUGAGGUGCGAAAGCGUGGGGAGCAAACAGGAUUAGAAACCCUUGUAGUCC